GAUGAACGCUGGCGGCGUGCCUAAUACAUGCAAGUCGAGCGAACAGACGAGGAGCUUGCUCCUUUGACGUUAGCGGCGGACGGGUGAGUAACACGUAGGUAACCUACCUAUAAGACUGGGAUAACUUCGGGAAACCGGAGCUAAUACCGGAUAAUAUUUCGAACCGCAUGGUUCGAUAGUGAAAGAUGGCUUUGCUAUCACUUCUCGAUGGACCUGCGCCGUAUUAGCUAGUUGGUAGGGUAACGGCUUACCAAGGCAACGAUACGUAGCCGACCUGAGAGGGUGAUCGGCCACACUGGAACUGAGACACGGUCCAGACUCCUACGGGAGGCAGCAGUAGGGAAUCUUCCGCAAUGGGCGAAAGCCUGACGGAGCAACGCCGCGUGAGUGAUGAAGGUCUUCGGAUCGUAAAACUCUGUUAUUAGGGAAGAACAAACGUGUAAGUAACUGUGCACGUCUUGACGGUACCUAAUCAGAAAGCCACGGCUAACUACGUG
RNAcentral lists this ribosomal RNA (497 nucleotides) under uncultured bacterium. Its description in RNAcentral is "partial 16S ribosomal RNA". It matches the Rfam family "Bacterial small subunit ribosomal RNA", at positions 28 to 507 of the family's 1533-position model. The record is from RNAcentral.